RNAcentral lists this long non-coding RNA (258 nucleotides) under Gallus gallus (chicken). Lineage: Eukaryota; Metazoa; Chordata; Aves; Galliformes; Phasianidae. The record is from RNAcentral.
UAUCGAUCGUGUGAAAAAGUUCAUGCAGUUCUUCUCCACUCAGAACUCCAUCAGCAAAGUAAGCUUUGAAUUCAUCAAAGGACAGUUUUCCAUCAUCAUUCUUGUCUGCUCUUCUCAGUAUAUCGCGGAAGAUGCGCAGCCCCGCGCCCAGCUCCGCCGCCAUCCGCCCGCCUCAACCGCCGCCACCGCCUGCAGCGGUGCCGGGACCGCGGAAGGGAACCCGCCGCCCCCCGUCCCCUCCCGGCCCCGGGGCUGGAC